CAAGAAUGAAGAUUUUGUUUUGAUUGCUUUUCAAAGGGGUAUACAACAACAGCGUUAAAUCCGAACAAUUAACCCUACAACGUGAACGCAUGAUAAAACAGAGUGCUAAACCAGGAAAUUUAAGCUCAACCUUCCGAAUAAAAUGAGCCUACCUUCGUUUCUUCUAAUGGAUUUUUUUGAAUGCUACUCUUUCAAGAAGCUCUAAUGAAUAUCGAACAAACUGCAGUAACCUUGAAUUGUACAAACUAGUAUUCCAGGUAGAUGAGAGGAUUUGCUUGCUAAAAAUGAUAAACUGUACACUUCUCAGACCCUAUUGGAAUAUCUCUCAAUCAUGUGUGGAUUAGAUCUUGAAUGUUGCAUGCAAUGCUUCUUCGGCCAACGAGUACACAAAUGAAGCCUUUCAUAUUUAACAGACCAACAAAAUAACAAGUGAAAUUUUACACAAGGUGUGGAUCAGACCACCACCUUUUUACCUCAGAUUUCCACCGAACUUCCUUGAGCAUCCCAUCCAAUCCAUAAUCCCUUUCCAUAACAAGUUUGGUUCCCUCGUCCGAGUACCAUCCAACUCCAAUGCAAAGGAUGCCAUCCUUGCCAACAUCAACAUAUCCUGAGGCACCAUCUGGCAGCCAAAGGAGAGUCACAUCCUACAUGUCUAUUAUCUCCUCCUCCCCAAAGUAGAUUGGAUUUUCAGGCAAGCUCCUCUUUUUCAAGGUUUCUGUACAAAAGUACACGUAUGGGGCACUGAUGCUGUCCCCACUUACCAUCUCAUCUCCAAAUACUGGAGUAGCAUUCACCUCAAAAACUUUCCACGACCCCGUCAGCUUCAAAGGCUGGAUAUGUUUCCUGUGAGAAAAUGGCUUUAGACUAAAUUCCAGAUCACUGUUCACAUCAUAUCAGGCAUAAUAUUAGACAGCAGUAGAAGGCAUAAACUCUCUCAUCUUUUUGGCUGGAACGCUGGAAGACAUACAAGAAACUAGAGAGAAAAAAUAUAUAUAAAAUUUCCUAUAUACGGAACUAUGAGAAGUAGAACAAGGAAAUGUGUGGAAGUAAAAAAGCAGAAUGUAAAUCCUAGAUAACCAGGGGGAAAUUGGCGAGAUUUUUCCCUCCUUUACUUCUUUACAACUUUAACCCAAAAGCCCAAGAGAAUAUGAAAAUAAACCCUUUUAAUAGACACAUGGGUACUGAGCAUUGUGAAACUGCAUUAAUAAUAAAUGGAAAUAAAGCAUCAAGUACCUUUGAUCCCGGCUAUUUGCUGGAUUGACUCACCGUUCUUCGUAAACAGCAACUCUCAUUAUCUGUGUCACGACCCAAUCUAUGGGCCGGACCGGCAGUAGGACCUGAACCAGCCUAAAGCCCCCGAGACUCAUAGUAAGCUUAAUUAUUCCUUAACCUAACUAUAAGGCCCAUUUGGGUCCAAUUUCAAGAAUUCAACCGGAUAGAGUCCGACCAUAAAAUGGAUCAUUUAACGAGGAGUUUUUGACUCGCCCAACCUGUAAAUAAUUUUACAGGUAAUCCCAUCCCAUCAUGCAUACAGUUAAUA
RNAcentral lists this unclassified non-coding RNA (1540 nucleotides) under Hevea brasiliensis (rubber tree). The record is from RNAcentral. Lineage: Eukaryota; Viridiplantae; Streptophyta; Magnoliopsida; Malpighiales; Euphorbiaceae.